Molecule: ribosomal RNA, 435 nt
Filed under: uncultured bacterium
Lineage: Bacteria
Description: bacterial SSU rRNA
Rfam family: Bacterial small subunit ribosomal RNA
Source: RNAcentral
GCACAAUGGGCGCAAGCCUGAUGCAGCCAUGCCGCGUGUAUGAAGAAGGCCUUCGGGUUGUAAAGUACUUUCAGCAGUGAGGAAGGUGGGUAUGUUAAUAGCAUAUUCAUUUGACGUUAGCUGCAGAAGAAGCACCGGCUAACUCCGUGCCAGCAGCCGCGGUAAUACGGAGGGUGCGAGCGUUAAUCGGAAUUACUGGGCGUAAAGCGCAUGCAGGUGGUUUGUUAAGUCAGAUGUGAAAGCCCGGGGCUCAACCUCGGAAUUGCAUUUUGAAACUGGCAAACUAGAGUACUGUAGAGGGGGUAGAAUUUCAGGUGUAGCGGUGAAAUGCGUAGAGAUCUGAAGGAAUACCGGUGGCGAAGGCGGCCCCCUGGACAGAUACUGACACUCAGAUGCGAAAGCGUGGGGAGCAAACAGGAUUAGAUACCCUGGUAG